RNAcentral lists this unclassified non-coding RNA (231 nucleotides) under Hevea brasiliensis (rubber tree). The record is from RNAcentral. Lineage: Eukaryota; Viridiplantae; Streptophyta; Magnoliopsida; Malpighiales; Euphorbiaceae.
GAAAGGAUCAUAAAUUUUAUUACCAGCAUGAUGGACUGUCUGCAAUUUUUCUAAAAGGAGGCUUUGAAAUUAUGCAGUAAAAUUCCGAAAGAUAAUAUUAAUAAUAAUCAGAUACGGGUAUACUCAAUGAUAAUUGAAAACCCAUUGAUAUUUGAAGUUUCAUCUGAUUUCAAUAAAAUCCAUUUAGUAUACUUAUUCUAAGAGUACCAUGCAUAACCUUUAGUAAUUAAU